AAAAAAACAAACCUGUUGUCUGAUGGUCAAGGCAUGACCCCUAGCUCCUACACCAGAUGACUCUCCAAACAUGCCUAGCUCAUCUUUGGCUGCCCAAGUUCUGUGCUUUCUACAGUAAGACCCAAGGACUCACACCUUCUCUCUGCGGUUGGAACUCAUUGAACCAGCUGAGCUUUUGCUUGAGAGCUGGAGAUUAUGACCCAGACCUUCAUGCUUGUACAACAGAGCACAUGACCGUCUGAGCUGACUCCCAGCUUCUCGUGCUCUUUGAAGUAAUACCCUCCUUGAAGACCAAGCAUCCUUUCCU
Mus musculus (house mouse) is the source of this 307-nucleotide long non-coding RNA. RefSeq annotates it as predicted gene, 41715. The transcript is spliced from 3 exons. NCBI's taxonomy places the organism in Eukaryota, Metazoa, Chordata, Mammalia, Rodentia, Muridae. The record is from RefSeq and is a predicted model, not a curated record.